CGCCAACUGUGCCUGCCCCAAGCGUGAGGAGAAAACAAAUCAGAUCUCGAUCCCAACUUUCCCCGACCUUCGCUGCCCUAGUUCUCGAUUCCCUCUUCCCCCGAUCUUCCCCGCCCUAGUUUCCGAUCCCUAGUUUUCCCGAUCUCGAUUCUCGGAGUUUUCGCGCACCUCGUCGAACAUGGCAGCGAUCAUGGCGGCGCGCGGGCAGGGGCAGGUGCAAGAUUUCGACUUCUUCGUGGUGGUCGACUUCGAGGCGACGUGCGUGAAAGACGCGCGGAUCUUUCCGCAGGAAAUCAUUGAGUUCCCCGCCGUGCUCGUCGACGGCGCCACCGGCCGCAUCGAGUCGGCGUUUCGCAGGUACGUUCGUCCAAACAUCACCCUGUGCUGACUCAAUUUUGCAGGGAACUCACCGGCAUCCGGCAGGAGGACGUGGACGGCGGCGUGGAACUCGGCGAGGCGCUCUGGAUGCACGACUCCUGGCUGAAGGCGGCGACGGCGGGGGCAGGGAGCUUGGCCAUCGUGACCUGGGGAGAUUGGGAUUGCCGCACCAUACUCGAGUCAGAGUGCCGCUUCAAGGGGAUCGAGAAGCCGUCCUACUUCGAUCGCUGGAUCAACCUGAGGGUCCCCUUCCAGGCGGCGCUCGGCGGCGGAGGGCGGGUCACCCUUCAGGAGGCGGUCCGGGCGGCGGGACUGGACUGGGAGGGCCGCCUGCACUGUGGGUUGGACGACGCCCGCAACACGGCGCGGCUUCUUGUUGAGCUCAUGCUGCGUGGGGUCAAGAUGACCAUCACCGGCUCGCUGGCGCCAUCGCCGCCGAUCCAGCAGCAGCCGCAGCAGCUUCUCACAAGCCCUUGCGGUGCCUCAUCUGCGUUGGCGCCGCCGCCGCCGAUCCAGCAGAAGCAGCAGUCGCCGCAGCUUCGCACAAGCCCUUGCGGAGGCUCAUCGCCGCUGGCGCCGCUGCUGAUCCAGCAGCAGCAGCAGCCGCCGCAGCCUCACAUGAUAAUCCCCUGCGGUGGCUCGCCUGGGACGUGCUUCUGCUACUGCAGGGUACCGACCAGAGGAGGCGUGGUGUCCAUGCCAGGGCCGAUGCAGGGGAAGUGCUUCUUCGGGUGUGGCAACUGGACGCCGGCCAUGGGACCCGUCUGCCCCUACUUCGUAUGGGCCAACUGAAUGAACCACCCAUGGUACCAGAUUCAGUGUAGCUCAGCUGUUAGUGUAAAUCGUGCUAGCCAUCAGAAUCAGAGCUUAGCUCGGCUGAUUCUAGCCAGUCUAGGUGUGAAUUGGUCUCUGGAAUCGAAUGUAAUUGGUGUCUGAAUUAGUACCCCCUCUGUAAACAAAUAUAAGUGUUUAGAUCACUAUUAGUGAUCUAAACACUCUUAUAUUUCUUUACGGAUGGAGUAUUAUAUUAUCAAUAGAAAUUCUUUUUAGUUAUGUCCCUUCUCCUGAUCUCUUCCUCUCUCCGGCACCUUGACACUCCUCGUAAUCGCACCCAUUUCUCCGCACAUGCACCGUCGAUUUAGAUAGAUCUGCCGCUCAUAUGCGUGUCCGUAGGAUCAUUUUAACUAACUUCUUUGUUUCCAAAUGUCAUGAGUCUUACAUCUCAGUUUUCAGAAUUACGCUUUUUUCAGGCAUAAGCUUAGGUAUUGUUUGAUAUUGGCGUCCAUGACAACACAAGUUUAUUACUGGAUUUUUAAGGAGCUACUAUAGAUACAUAAUUAUUCCACCAGAGCUGAACUUUUUUUUCUUUCAAAUUCUGACUAAUUACAGUUUACCGUGAAUAGAACCUAUCACUAACAAUAUGAACAUAGUUUGUAAGCAAGUUAUCUUAAUAGAAAAUUGAUUAACAAGAACAGUUCAUUUGUAGACAUGGGCACAUGACAGUAACAUGGAAAUGCAAAAAGGAACACAUCACUGAAAUUAUUUCCCACAUCUGUUGGUUCAAUAGCUUUGUUGCUGCAAAUUAAGGCAUUCAGCGGUUCUAGUACUUAUGCCCGUGUAAUAUCAAACUCAUAAUCGGUAUUCUAGCUAGUGUCCAUGAUCUAUGGUUGUCCUAGUACUCUCCUGUCCACAGAGUUGCGCUGCUUUUUGGCAGUGGUGUUGUUGUAUGCAUUAGUAUGUUGCAUCAAGCCAGUGGCAGUUCGGUUGCAGCCAGCUGGCUGGCAAGGAGGCCAAGGACAUAGGUGCAUCGUAGGCCUGUAGCAGAAGACGGUCAUGUGUCAGACAAGGAUUUGCAGCACCAAGGAAACGGGAGGAAGGACAGCAAGUCUAGGAUUAAAGGAGUCCAACCAUGAGGAGUUUGUAUCGUGCUAGGAAAAGUCAAAGAUCUAAGCAUCCACUAUAUAGAGAUGUCAUGUAUCUAUGUUUCAGGAAGAAACAACCAAUCUUUUCUCUCUGAAAUAAUCUCUCAUCCAACCUAUGUCUACCAAUAUCUUGCAGCAUUGCCAUCUGGCUAUGUUCAGUACGUUAGUUAUCCUGUUGUGGAUAAAGGUUCACAACGUGUUGCUAACAGCUGUAAAACAUCCAUAUAUGGCUUGGUACAUGCAUUACUGGACAUGUUGAACGCCCAAUAAAAAAAAUCAUGGUUUUAUUUACUUACCCAUAUAUCAAUUGUACUUGCAGGAUUGUGUCGGACUGUAUUCCAAUUAAGCAGAGGAAGCGUGUGCCCUAUUUGAUCAUUUCUAGUGGUCUUUCUCUAUUUCCAUAGCUUAUCAUUGGGAUGUCAGAACAUUUGAGGAGCUCAAGCAAUCUUUUUACGCUAAUGUUGAUUGUACAGAACUUGGGAUCUGCCAUGGCAGAUGUUGUUAUAGAUGCAAUGAUUGCAGAGGCAGUUCGAUCAGCAGGGCCAAAAUUUGCUGGUGAUCUCCAGUCAUCAAUGGCUGCAGGGGGGAUAUUUGGGAGCUUAUUGGGAGGAUACGCAUUGUCCAAUCUCCCAAUAAAUGCCAUUGAUAUUAUUUUCUCUGCUCUUCCACUGUUCCAACUAGUUACAUGUGUUUUCAUUAAGGAAUCUCCAAAAGGAUUUGAAAGUACGACAGAUAACGCCGCACAUGAUCAUGCUGAUGGUCAGAAUAUUGAUAGUGCUUUUGCUGGACAAGGCUCAGGUGAAUCUUUUAAAUAUGAGGGCACUAGGAAGCGAAAGGGUGCUCGUAAAAAGAGCAAAAGGAGAUCAUUAUCCAAACGAUCUGAAGCUCAUGAGAAGCACAAUAAAUCAGUUAAUUUAUACUCAUCUCUGAAAUCAGCCUGAGUCAGUUUAUGCACUGCUUUUAAGCAGCCAGCAAUGUUGCGCAGUUCCAAAUAUCUCAACAGUAAUGUUCUAUUAUCAAACGGAGGUUCUACAUCUGGAGAGGCAUCCUUCCUAGGGACUGCACGUGUGAUUGGGUGGUUCAAUCUAAUGCUUGGCACAUAUAUCUACAACCGCUACUUAAAGCAUAAAAAACUCAGGAAUAUUCUUAUGUUUGCACAUGUUGGCCUAGCGAUAAUUACUGUACUGGACAUUUUACUGGUGUCAAGAUUACACAUUCAGUAUGGAAUAGCAGACAAAUACAUGGUGCUGUGGGGCUCUGCUUUAGCCGAUGCAAUCAACCAAUUCAAGAUGAUGCCGUUCCUAAUCCUCUCAGGACAGCUUUGCCCGCCUGGAAUCGAGGGCACACUGUUUGCUCUGUUCAUGUCCAUAAACAACCUCAAUUCGACAUUAGGUUCAUUCCUUGGAGCUGCAUUGGCGUCAGCUUUGAACAUCCCCUAUCGGAUUUUUGUUUCUGAUUCCAAGGGACGUUACGGGACUAACAUCGGGUUACAGACUUGAUCAUCAUUUUUUCUGGACUGGUCUGGUCUGUAUUCCCUAGUCUUACUCAUACAUGCAUAUAGAGAAACCAAAUUGAAGCCAGCAGGAAGGUAGCUCAGUUUUGUUGUAAUAUGUAUACAGGCAUAUACUAGAAUGAGAGGAAGAGUGCAAUAACUGACAUUAUAAAGCGUUAAGCAAUGGCGAAACUGUGUAGCAAAUGUACUUGCGGGAACAUGUGUUACAUGGAAAGUGUUAUUGUUUAUUAUUAAGCUUUUGAUCUGUCUGUCAAUCUACCUACGUCCUAUCUAUCUAUCUAUCUAUCUAUCUAUCUAUCUAUCUAUCUAUCUAUCUAUCUAUCUAUCUAUCUAUCUCUUUCUCUAUAUCUAAUAUUAAAAUCUCUACCUUCAGCACUGAUCCUGCAUGUAUUUACACUAUCAAAUUGAGCAGUGAAUUGAUGUAUAUAUUCGUUAUGCUUGCAAGUGUAAAUUACUUAUUGAUUGCGCUAGAAAUACAAAUAAAUUGCUAUAAAAAAUUCG
This 4314-nucleotide ribosomal RNA is filed under the name Triticum aestivum (bread wheat). RNAcentral describes it as "partial small subunit ribosomal RNA". The record is from RNAcentral. Lineage: Eukaryota; Viridiplantae; Streptophyta; Magnoliopsida; Poales; Poaceae.